Molecule: long non-coding RNA, 4164 nt
Organism: Cavia porcellus (domestic guinea pig)
Lineage: Eukaryota; Metazoa; Chordata; Mammalia; Rodentia; Caviidae
Exons: 3
Source: RefSeq, a predicted model, not a curated record
UGUACACAGAAAGCAGGGUGCCCUGCAUGGCUGAGAUCAGUGAGGGAAGGCUCUAGUCUAUUGUUAGUAAUCAAGUCGCACAGCGAGACUUCCAGAAGUCCCUGGUUUCAGCCCUGCCCUUCGCAGACAGCCCUGUACCCAGCCGCUUCUCCGGUCAAUGCAGGAGGGGGAGAACGCCCUCCCUCCUGUGCAGGGGCACAGGCACAGCUGGGAUAAAGACUUGCUUUCAUCCUCCCGGAAACCUGCUCUUGAAUUAUUUCCAGGUGUGUGGGCUCCGGAGGUCCUGUAAGUCUACUUGGGGUUCUUAUCUUGAAGUGUGGACAGAGCAGUUGUUUUUAAAGAAAAGGCCAUCAGCACUCAGAGUUGUUAAUGGAGAGGAGCAGGAGACCAGCAGCUGAUAAAAACCAGCAGCUGCAGCAAUGGCUGGCACAUGUGUGAUUUUUCUUUUAAGACAAAAGAUGUUAAUGUAGGAGCUGUUUUUUCCUAAACGAACACCUCAGCAUUCAGGUUUAAUCGCAGAAUGGGCACUAUGCGAUAAAUAUGUGGGUUUGGGUUGAGUUUGGGCGCUCAUUUCGGAAAGGUUGGCCAUCAUUGCCCUAGUUCAGCACAAGAUAACAGCAGAAGGUUGAGGCCAGCAGUGGCAGUGAGCAGCAGCUGGCUGUGUCACCUGUUGGCAUCUAGCAUUAUCCUGUGUCAUCUGGUGGCAUCAGCACUGCUGGCAGAGCUGCACUUUACAAACCCACGAUUUCCAUCUGAACUGAGCAGAAGUGCACUGGGCUAAUGGCAACCGAACAGAAGUACCCAGGCCUCAAGGGUGUGUAAGCCUCAAAGGCCGCAGACAUCCGCAGGAAGUCCCUGUAAGGAAGCAGCGUGGUGCAGCAGAGUAUCUGAGGAACGGCGUGGUCUGCCUGGGCCACGAAUUGGGACUGGACCGGGCUCGAGGCCCCAAGCACCUCAGAACUUCUGCUGCGCAAGCAGACGGGCUUCAGCAGGUACCGAGGUCGCCGAGCACAGCCAGGGAACACAGCGCCCAGGAAGAGCCCCUGCCACACGUAGGGACCGAAGAGCAGUCUCAGUGGAAACCGAAAAAACAAACAGCUGGCACGCGAAUACACGCAGCGUAAGAUAAGCGCAAGUAAGAUGUUAAAAGUGACGGCAGGGAAAUGCUCACCUCGUUUUAAGUGAAGACAACCUACUAUUUUACAUAGUUUAUGGUUUUAAAAUAAGACUACAGAAACAGACGGGAAACUAAAUCUAGCAGAUUCUCGAGGAACCGCACGACGCAGCCCACCACAACCCUUGGCCCCGCCCUCUUGCUCCUCCGCCCUCACGCUACUGGCUGCCCGCAGGCUAGACACGCCUACUCCGGCUCCGCCCCCUUGUCUUCGGAGACCCAGGGGAGCUGGGGUUCUGGCACCGAGUAGCGCUGGCUCUUUCCCAGCAGACAACCUGAGUCUUCUGAUUGGUCCUGGGCGGUCGUGGCGUGAUGACGUCGCGUCCUCGGGCGGUGUUCGCGGCCGGGUGCGGGGUUUGGGCUAACUGUCUCUGGUGGGGCUGUCGGUGCUCUGGCGUCCUGGGCAUCUGGGCAGCCCCACGCGCGGCAGCGGGAGCAGACUGGGACAGCGGAGCGGAGCGAGCACGGGCAGGCGGCUUCCCAGCACUGCCUCAGGCUCAAGGCUCCUCCGCGACCCGGGAGUAGGCUGUGGCGGAGGGUCAGGUCGAGUUCGCGCGCCUUUAUCUGCCUUAGAUUUGGUGAAAGUAUCGCGGCUUUGAAGAUAACCGUCUCUCACAGGCUUGGCUGAUGAUGUUUACAUUUUUAAGAUGAGUAUGUUUUCGUGAGCCCUCAGGGUUUCCAUGAAACGUCCACCUGGAGACGUCUGCUUUCCUCAGUGGCUGUUCUGUAGCCGAUUCCUGCGACCCGAAUGUCCUUUGUUUCUGGUUCUUGAAAUACAUUUUUAAUUAUUCGAAUUAGAGAUUUUAACUUAAAACAGAAGACAUGCAUGCCAUUAAAAAUGCAAAGUUAAGAUAGUCAACAACCAGUGCCUUAGCCCCACAUUAAAAUCCUGGAAGCCAGGCUCUAGCGGCAGCCGUUUCGGUUUUUGGCCAGUGCUUCCAGAAAGUCCACGCAUAUAGUUACACAUUGGGGUGUCACUUUUUUUCAACUCUCAAUUGUAAAAUGACGUUAGAAACAGUCCACAGCCCCUUGUGCAAUUCUUGGAAUGUCCGUGGUGCCUGUGAUAAGUGUAAAUAUCCUUCAAAGAAUGAGCUUUACAUUUCUAACAAUCAGAGGAUCUGAUUGUCCCAUAUGCAUAUCACAUAAAGUUUUACCCCUUGUUUUUAAGCCUCCCAUGGCGACAUAAUUACCGAAGAGUCACUUACUGGGGACAUUUAGGGCACUCAGUUUUCCUAUCACAAAGAAUGCUGUGACCAAUGACCUUGUGUGAACGUUCCCACAGGCUCAGACGGAUGCCCCUUGGCACAGAAACAAGGUGCUUUCCCUUUAGCACAAGGGAGAAAGCUGGGGGGAGCAGGACUCCGAGACUGAUCCAAACCAAGGGCAAAGGUGUACAGAUUUUAUGGCACCUGUGGGGUAGGAGGGUCUUGAUUCCAUCACACAUGCAGACAGCUCCAGUUGUGCUGAAGCUCUCUGUCAUAGUCCUUCAAGCGAGAGUUUCAUUGCUGUAAUCUUCACCUGGGUAUGAUUAUUUUUUAACUGCUAAUUAAGGUAACUACAGUUUACUUUAGAGCCUCCUCCAAGCACACUGCUAUCCUUGCCACCUGGAGUCUGCCCCUUUCAUGUGGGAAGUUACUAAUUGGGUUUUGGAGCAGGGCAGCUCACUCCCCAGCCUCCAUGGGUUUAAUUUUAAUGGUCUUGUUUUUCUCUGCUCUUAUUUCUUGGAAUCUCUGUGUAGUCUUUGAAGGCUGAAUAGCUUCAGUCCUCCCAUCUUGGUGUGGUGCGUUAUCCUCACUCUGUAGCCUUGCAGACGUUGGCUUUUUUUUUUAAUCCCCAUGAGACUGAGCUAGGCUAGCUGUCUCACAUAUGGCAGGUCCUUCUGAAAGAAUUUUGCCCUAGAUAGGAUAUUACAGCAGUGGGAGGCAAGACCAAGGGACAUUUACCUUGAGGUCCCUUUCCCCGCCCCUUUGCAACUUACGUGUGGUGCAAAAAGAGUCCCAAUCAACUAAGUGCAUCAGCAAUGCCACCUUUAAGCACCACCCCAGUUGGAAACUAUAUGUAUGCCCCCUACACUAUUUGUCCAGCAAGGAAAGCCAGACCCCUAGGGGUCAUGGGGUUUCUCUCCAUGUUCUUAGACUAAAGGCCAUUUUUACUUUAUAGUCUCUCUUUUUCGGUGCAGAAAAUCCUAUCAUUUGGUUCCCUGACCAGGAAGGCAGCAUGACUCCUGGGGUCCUCCCAGUUUGAGUCUCCCUGCCAAUUCACUGACUGGACCACAUCUUGGAUUAAUUCCUCAUUUAUCAACACGUGGGAGCUGCUCAACUUGUGGACACCAGCCUGCAAACAACACCGGCCUAAUUAAUUUACCUCAGCAGUGGCACUUGGGGCUCCCAAGACAGUAAAGCCAAAACAAGGUGGAGCUGCCUGAGCCCCUCCCAGACCAUGCUUCAAGUGCAGCAAAGAAGGACAUUGGGCAAGAGAAAGCACCAGUCUUGGAAUUCAUCACUGACUGACUUGUCCCCAAUAAGUCUAACAUGUGGGCAUUCACCAAUGAUAAAGCUGUCCUGGCUGAAACACCUGGCACCAGCCUCUGCAUGGGCAUCAACUGUCAUCCCAUCAACCUUCCUAAUCCCCAAUACGAUACCCCCUUUCAGCAGGAAGUAGUAAGAGAGAGAGAGACUUCGCCCUUUUCCUAACAAUAAAAAGAUGGGAAUGAAAGGAUUCUGCCCUAGAUAGGAUAUUAUAGCAGUGGGAGGCAGGACCAAGGCAUGUUUAGCUUGAGGUCACUUUCCCCUCACCUAUCCAACUUACCUGUGACAUGAAAAGAGUCCCAAUCAGCUAUUCACGCAUCAGCAAUGCCACCUUAAGCACCAUCUCAGUCAGAAACUAUAUGUAUGCCCCCUGCACCACAUGUCCAGUAAAGAAAGCCAGACUCCCAGUGGUCAUGGGGUUUCUCUCCGCGUUCUUAGAAUAAAGGCCACUUUAUUUAUUUA